CCUACGGGCGGCUGCAGUGGGGAAUAUUGCACAAUGGGCGCAAGCCUGAUGCAGCCAUGCCGCGUGUGUGAAGAAGGCCUUCGGGUUGUAAAGCACUUUCAGCGGGGAGGAAGGCGGUGAGGUUAAUAACCUCAUCGAUUGACGUUACCCGCAGAAGAAGCACCGGCUAACUCCGUGCCAGCAGCCGCGGUAAUACGGAGGGUGCAAGCGUUAAUCGGAAUUACUGGGCGUAAAGCGCACGCAGGCGGUCUGUCAAGUCGGAUGUGAAAUCCCCGGGCUCAACCUGGGAACUGCAUUCGAAACUGGCAGGGUAGAGUCUUGUAGAGGGGGGUAGAAUUCCAGGUGUAGCGGUGAAAUGCGUAGAGAUCUGGAGGAAUACCGGUGGCGAAGGCGGCCCCCUGGACAAAGACUGACGCUCAGGUGCGAAAGCGUGGGGAGCAAACAGGAUUAGAUACCCCGGUAGUC
Molecule: ribosomal RNA, 465 nt
Filed under: uncultured Klebsiella sp.
Lineage: Bacteria; Pseudomonadati; Pseudomonadota; Gammaproteobacteria; Enterobacterales; Enterobacteriaceae
Description: bacterial SSU rRNA
Rfam family: Bacterial small subunit ribosomal RNA
Source: RNAcentral